RNA transcript from Penaeus monodon (black tiger shrimp), 2052 nucleotides. It is a transcript of the gene named thrombospondin-4-like, with no coding region annotated. The record is from RefSeq and is a predicted model, not a curated record. Lineage: Eukaryota; Metazoa; Arthropoda; Malacostraca; Decapoda; Penaeidae. The transcript is spliced from 13 exons.
AUGGGGACCUGCAAAUUGUCUCCCAGCUUCUCUGGGAAUGGUGUUACUUGCUCUGAUGUGGACGAGUGUUUGGUUGCCAACGGUGGUUGUGAUGCAAAUGCCCUGUGUAGCAAUACUCCAGGCAGCCGUGACUGCACCUGCACAUCAGGGUUCACUGGGAAUGGCCUAGUUUGCACAGACGUGGACGAGUGUCUGGUAGCUAAUGGAGGGUGCCAUGCAAAUGCAGACUGUACAAAUGAUGUUGGUGGCAGAACUUGCACCUGUCAUCCUGGUUACACCGGUGAUGGACUUCAAUGUACUGAUGUGGACGAGUGCUUGGUUGCCAACGGUGGUUGUGAUGCAAAUGCCCUGUGUAGCAAUACUCCAGGCAGCCGUGACUGCACCUGCACAUCAGGGUUCACUGGGAAUGGCCUAGCUUGCACAGAUGUGGACGAGUGUCUGGUGGCUAAUGGUGGGUGCCAUGCUAAUGCUCAGUGCACCAAUACUGCUGGUAGCAGAACCUGCUCUUGCCUUGCUGGCUAUACUGGUGAUGGACAAGUGUGCACACUCCUCCAGUGUCCUGUUGGCUUUGCUGGUCAAGGUCAAGACUGUGCUCCAGACUCUGACCUUGAUGGCUUCCCAGACACUGAACUGAGCUGUUCGAGCAAAUACUGCCGUAAGGAUAACUGUGUCAACCGACCAAAUUCUGGGCAAGAGGAUGCCGAUGGUGACGGGAUUGGUGAUGCUUGUGAUACUGAUGCUGAUGGAGAUGGACUUCUUGAUACUUCGGAUAACUGUCCACUAAUAGCCAACCCUGGGCAACAAGAUGGAGACUCGGAUACACAUGGAGAUGUAUGUGACAACUGCCCUGUAGUCUCCAACCCCAGCCAGAAUGAUGUUGAUGGGGAUGGUGCAGGCGACAAAUGCGACGAUGAUAUUGACAAUGAUGGCUUGCUAAAUACUGCUGACAACUGUCCAAAGACUGCAAAUGGCAACCAAGCUGAUGGUGAUGGAGAUGGCUUUGGAGACUUGUGUGACAAUUGCCCCCAGCAUAACAAUCCUGGGCAAGAAGAUGCAGAUGAAGAUCUACUAGGGGAUGCAUGUGAUGAUAACAUCGACUCUGACAGUGAUGGUGUGGAGGACAGUGUGGACAAUUGUCCAAAUGUAGCCAAUGGUGACCAGCUGGACGUAGAUGGUGAUGGGUUAGGUGAUGCCUGUGAUUCAGACAGUGACAACGAUGGUAUUGAUGAUACGACUGACAACUGCUUGCUAAUCCCAAAUUCGGACCAGAAGGAUACCGACGGGAAUGGCCGUGGCGACGCUUGCACCUCUGACUUUGAUGGUGACAAAAUUGUAGACUCGGAUGAUAACUGCAUUGCCAACCCAAAUGUGCAUGCCACCGACUUCAGGCAACUCCAAAUGGUGGCACUAGACCCACAAACGGCGUCUACUCCUCCAGUAUGGAUUGUCUACGACAAUGGUGCAGAAAUUCACCAGACGCUGAACUCGGACCCAGCUAUAUCAGUGGGUGACCAUACACUUGUGGAUGUCGACAUUUGAAGGGACCCGUCUCAUAGAGGACACCAGUGUGAUGACUUUGUUGGCUUUAUCUUCAGUAGUAUAGGACUAAAUUAUAAUGGCAUUUCCAAGUUUCUAUGUCAUGAUGUGAAGAAGGGACCACAAAGCUGGUUUGGCCAAGCAAGAGGGAGUUACUCUGAAGCUAUUGCUCUGGCUAUACAUGCCCCUGGUCCGGCACUUCGGGAUGCUUUGUGGCUCACUGGCUCUACAACAAACCAGUGAGCAACCUUGCUCUGUCAUGAUAGCAGUUAUUGGAUGGAACCCUAAAGUUUGCCUACCGCGUGCUGCUUCACCACCGGCCUGAUAUUUGGGUACCAUGAGGUUCUACUUGUACCCAGGUUAAAACCAAGUCAUUGACUCUGGAAACUUAUGACAGCACCUAAAAGGUAGGUUCGGCUAGGUCCCUCUUCUGUCUGCUUCUCCCAGAAGCAAAUUAUAUGGUCCAUGGGGAGUAUUCUUGUUUCAGUAAGGUUUGGUUCUGAAGUCUUCUAUUAG